GACGAACCGUGCGAACGUUGUUCGGAAUUACUGGGCAUAAAGGGUGCGUAGGCGGCUUGUUAAGUCAGGGGUGAAAGUUUUCGGCCCAACCGGAAAAUUGCCUUUGAUACUGGCGAGCUCGAGUGCGUGAGGGGUAACCGGAACGAGCAGUGUAGCGGUGAAAUGCGUAGAUAUUGCUCGGAAGGCCAACGGCGAAGGCAGGUUACUGGUACGCAACUGACGCUGAGGCACGAAAGCGUGGGGAGCAAACAGG
Molecule: ribosomal RNA, 253 nt
Filed under: uncultured bacterium
Lineage: Bacteria
Description: partial 16S ribosomal RNA
Rfam family: Bacterial small subunit ribosomal RNA
Source: RNAcentral